CGAGCCUGAUGGAGCAUGCCGCGUGAGUGAGAAGGUUUUCGGAUCGUAAACUCUGUUGUUGAAGAAGAACAUGCGUGAGAGUAACUGUUCACGUACUGACGGUAUUCAACCAGAAAGCCACGGCUAACUACGUGCCAGCAGCCGCGGUAAUACGUAGGUGGCAAGCGUUGUCCGGAUUUAUUGGGCGUAAAGAGAAUGUAGGCGGUUUAUUAAGUUUGAAGUGAAAGCCCUCGGCUCAACCGAGGAAGUGCUUCGAAAACUGGUAAACUUGAGUGCAGAAGAGGAAAGUGGAACUCCAUGUGUAGCGGUGAAAUC
RNAcentral lists this ribosomal RNA (315 nucleotides) under uncultured Lactobacillus sp. RNAcentral's name for it is "bacterial SSU rRNA". It matches the Rfam family "Bacterial small subunit ribosomal RNA", at positions 378 to 688 of the family's 1533-position model. Lineage: Bacteria; Bacillati; Bacillota; Bacilli; Lactobacillales; Lactobacillaceae. The record is from RNAcentral.